UACGAAGGGGGCUAGCGUUGCUCGGAAUCACUGGGCGUAAAGGGUGCGUAGGCGGGUCUUUAAGUCAGGGGUGAAAUCCUGGAGCUCAACUCCAGAACUGCCUUUGAUACUGAAGAUCUUGAGUUCGGGAGAGGUGAGUGGAACUGCGAGUGUAGAGGUGAAAUUCGUAGAUAUUCGCAAGAACACCAGUGGCGAAGGCGGCUCACUGGCCCGUUACCGACGCUCAGGCGCGACAGCGUGGGGAGCAAACAGG
Molecule: ribosomal RNA, 253 nt
Filed under: uncultured bacterium
Lineage: Bacteria
Description: partial 16S ribosomal RNA
Rfam family: Bacterial small subunit ribosomal RNA
Source: RNAcentral